Molecule: ribosomal RNA, 630 nt
Filed under: uncultured eukaryote
Lineage: Eukaryota
Description: bacterial SSU rRNA
Rfam family: Eukaryotic small subunit ribosomal RNA
Source: RNAcentral
UUGUUGCAGUUAAAAAGCUCGUAGUUGGACCUUGGGCAGGAGGCACGGGUUGGCCGAAUGGCUCGACUCGGGUCUCCGGCCUCUAUGGGUGGUCGUGCCUUUGGUACGGUUCGCCCGGGUUACUGUGAAGAAAUUAGAGUGUUUAAAGCAGGCGAUUGCUUGGAUACAUCAGCAUGGAAUAGCAAGAUAGGACCUGGUUCCACUUGUUGGUUUGGGGGCUUUGGUAAUGAUUAAUAGGGCCAGUUGGGGGCAUUAGUAUUCAGUAGUCAGAGGUGAAAUUCUUGGAUUUACUGAAGACUAACUAGUGCGAAAGCAUUUGCCAAGGAUGUUUUCAUUAAUCAAGAACGAAAGUUAGGGGAUCGAAGACGAUCAGAUACCGUCGUAGUCUUAACUAUAAACGAUGCCGACUCGGGAUCGGCAGACGUCGUUAGCGACACUGUCGGCACCGUGUGAGAAAUCAAAGUUUUUGGGUUCUGGGGGGAGUAUGGUCGCAAGGCUGAAACUUAAAGGAAUUGACGGAAGGGCACCACCAGGAGUGGAGCCUGCGGCUUAAUUUGACUCAACACGGGAAAACUCACCAGGUCCGGACAUAGUAAGGAUUGACAGAUUGAGAGCUCUUUCUUGAUUCUG